CAUGGCUGUAGGUUACUGUACAUGGUGGAGGAACAUGGCUGUAGGUUACUGUACAUGGUGGAGGAACAUGGCUGUAGGUUACUGUACAUGGUGGAGGAACAUGGCUGUAGGUUACUGUACAUGGUGGAGGAACAUGGCUGUAGGCUACUGUACAUGGUGGAGGAACAUGGCUGUAGGCUACUGUACAUGGUGGAGGAACAUGGCUGUAGGUUACUGUACAUGGUGGAGGAACAUGGCUGUAGGUUACUGUACAUGGUGGAGGAACAUGGCUGUAGGCUACUGUACAUGGUGGAGGAACAUGGCUGUAGGCUACUGUACAUGGUGGAGGAACAUGGCUGUAGGUUACUGUACAUGGUGGAAGAAUAUGGCUGUAGGUUACUGUACAUGGUGGAGGAAUAUGGCUGUUUGUUACUGUACAUGGUGG
Molecule: long non-coding RNA, 424 nt
Filed under: Salmo salar (Atlantic salmon)
Lineage: Eukaryota; Metazoa; Chordata; Actinopteri; Salmoniformes; Salmonidae
Description: lncRNA (ENSSSAG00000118459.1)
Source: RNAcentral